ACUCUAGUUUAAUAAAUAUUUGCUUGUCAAGUAAAAGAAGCAUUAUAAAGUGCGGGU
This 57-nucleotide transfer RNA is filed under the name Praticolella mexicana. RNAcentral describes it as "tRNA-Asp". Lineage: Eukaryota; Metazoa; Mollusca; Gastropoda; Stylommatophora; Polygyridae. The record is from RNAcentral.